GACGAACGCUGGCGGCGUGCUUAACACAUGCAAGUCGAACGGAAAGGCCCUGCUUUUGUGGGGUGCUCGAGUGGCGAACGGGUGAGUAACACGUGAGUAACCUGCCCUUGACUUUGGGAUAACUUCAUGAAACUGGGGCUAAUACCGGAUAGGAGCUCCUGCUGCAUGGUGGGGGUUGGAAAGUUUCGGCGGUUGGGUAUGGACUCGCGGCUUAUCAGCUUGUUGGUGGGGUAGUGGCUUACCAAGGCUUUGACGGGUAGCCGGCCUGAGAGGGUGAGCGGCCACAUUGGGACUGAGAUACGGCCCAGACUCCUACGGGAGGCAGCAGUGGGGAAUAUUGCACAAUGGGCGGAAGCCUGAUGCAGCAACGCCGCGUGCGGGAUGACGGCCUUCGGGUUGUAAACCGCUUUCGCCCGUGACGAAGCGUGAGUGACGGUAAUGGGUAAAGAAGCACCGGCUAACUACGUG
RNAcentral lists this ribosomal RNA (468 nucleotides) under uncultured bacterium. Its description in RNAcentral is "partial 16S ribosomal RNA". It matches the Rfam family "Bacterial small subunit ribosomal RNA", at positions 28 to 507 of the family's 1533-position model. The record is from RNAcentral.